This 497-nucleotide ribosomal RNA is filed under the name uncultured bacterium. Its description in RNAcentral is "partial 16S ribosomal RNA". It matches the Rfam family "Bacterial small subunit ribosomal RNA", at positions 28 to 507 of the family's 1533-position model. The record is from RNAcentral.
GUUGAACGCUGGCGGCGUGCCUAAUACAUGCAAGUCGAGCGAACAGACGAGGGGUUGGCUCCUGUGACGUUAGCGGCGGGCGGGUGAGUUACACGUGGAUAACCUACCUAUAAGGCUGUGAUAACUUCGGGAAACCGUUGCUAAUACCUGCUAAUAUAUGGAACCACAUGGUUCAAUAGUGGAAUCGGGUUUUGCUGUCACUUAUUGACGGAUCCGCGCCGCAUUAGCUAGUUGGUAAGGUAACGGCUUACCAAGGCAACGAUGAGUAGCCGGUCUGAGAGGAUGAUCGGCCACACUGGAACUGAGACACGGCCCAGACUCCUACGGGAGGCAGCAGUAGGGAAUUUUCGGCAAUGGGCGAAAGCUUGACGGAGCAAUGCCGCGUGAGUGAAGAAGGCCUUCGGAUCGUAAAGCUCUUUUGUCAGGAAAGAAAAAAUGUGUACGUAACUAGGCACGUCUUGACGGUACCGAAUCAGAAAGCAACGGCUAACUACGUG